RNAcentral lists this ribosomal RNA (468 nucleotides) under uncultured bacterium. Its description in RNAcentral is "partial 16S ribosomal RNA". It matches the Rfam family "Bacterial small subunit ribosomal RNA", at positions 28 to 507 of the family's 1533-position model. The record is from RNAcentral.
GACGAACGCUGGCGGCGUGCUUAACACAUGCAAGUCGAACGGAAAGGCCCUGCUUUUGUGGGGUGCUCGAGUGGCGAACGGGUGAGUAACACGUGAGUAACCUGCCCUUGACUUUGGGAUAACUUCAGGAAACUGGGGCUAAUACCGGAUAGGAGCUCCUGCUGCAUGGUGGGGGUUGGAAAGUUUCGGCGGUUUGGGAUGGACUCGCGGCUUAUCAGCUUGUUGGUGGGGUAGUGGCUUACCAAGGCUUUGACGGGUAGCCGGCCUGAGAGGGUGACCGGCCACAUGGGGACUGAGGGACGGCCCAGACUCCUACGGGAGGCAGCAGGGGGGAAUAUUGCACAAUGGGCGGAAGCCUGAUGCGACAACGCCGCGUUCGGGAUGACGGCCUUCGGGUUGUAAACCGCUUUCGCCUGUGACGAAGCGUGAGUGACGGUAAUGGGUAAAGAAGCACCGGCUAACUACGUG